UGGUAGCAUUUUAUUUUAUUAGAGGAAUCUGUUACAUAAUCGAUAUUCCACGAUAAUUUUCACUUUAAUUAAAAAUUCUAUAUAUCGCCAUCUAAAGAAUUAAUUUAAUAAUACUAUUCUAUAAAAAGUUAGGUCAAGGUGUAAUCUACAUUAAAGUAAAUAAUGGAUUACAUUAAAAACAAUUUAAGAAUAUAAUUAAUAAAUUUUUUAUUAAAAAAGGAUUUAUAAGUAAUGUUAUAAUAGUAUUUUAUCAUG
Molecule: ribosomal RNA, 255 nt
Filed under: Anoteropsis adumbrata
Lineage: Eukaryota; Metazoa; Arthropoda; Arachnida; Araneae; Lycosidae
Description: partial 12S ribosomal RNA
Source: RNAcentral